GAUGAACGCUGGCGGUAGGCCUAAUACAUGCAAGUCGAACGAAAGCACAGGAAGCUUGUUCCCUUACGGUUAGCGGCGGGCGGGCGGGUAACACGUGGAUAACCUUCUUCUAUUUCUGGGGUAAUUUCGGAAAACCGCAGCCACUACUACCUAAUACAUCGUACGGCUUGAUUCAAUGGUUAUUCAGGCUUUGCGCGAUUGUUUGAGCCGGUUUCGGGCCGCAUUAGCGAGUUGGUAAGGUAACGGCUUACCAAGGCAACGAUGCGUAGCUGACCUGAGAGGAUGAUCGGCCACACUGGAACUGAGACACGGUCCAGACUCCUACGGGAGGCAGCAGUAGGGAAUCUUGCGCAAUGGGCGAAAGCCUGACGGAGCAACGCCGCGUGAGUGAUGAAGGUCUUCGGAUCGUAAAGCUCUGUUAUUGGGGAAGAACAAAAGUGUAAGUAACUCUGGACGUCUUGACGGUACCUAAUCAGAAAGCCACGGCUAACUACGUG
This 497-nucleotide ribosomal RNA is filed under the name uncultured bacterium. Its description in RNAcentral is "partial 16S ribosomal RNA". It matches the Rfam family "Bacterial small subunit ribosomal RNA", at positions 28 to 507 of the family's 1533-position model. The record is from RNAcentral.